RNAcentral lists this ribosomal RNA (430 nucleotides) under uncultured bacterium. RNAcentral's name for it is "partial 16S ribosomal RNA". It matches the Rfam family "Bacterial small subunit ribosomal RNA", at positions 97 to 520 of the family's 1533-position model. The record is from RNAcentral.
GGCGGACGGGUGAGUAACACUUGGGAAUCUGCCCAGUAGUGGGGGACAACCCGGGGAAACCCGGGCUAAUACCGCAUACGCCCUACGGGGGAAAGGGGGCCUCUUCUUGAAAGCUCUCGCUAUUGGAUGAGCCCAAGUCGGAUUAGCUUGUUGGUGAGGUAAAAGCUCACCAAGGCGACGAUCCGUAGCUGGUCUGAGAGGACGAUCAGCCACACUGGGACUGAGACACGGCCCAGACUCCUACGGGAGGCAGCAGUGGGGAAUAUUGGACAAUGGGCGAAAGCCUGAUCCAGCCAUCCCGCAUGCAGGAAGACGGCCCUAUGGGUUGUAAAGCACUUUCAAUAGAGAGGAAAAGCUGUACGUUAAUAGCGUGCAGCCCUGACGUUACCUAUAGAAGAAGCACCGGCUAACUCCGUGCCAGCAGCGGCGG